Long non-coding RNA from Nanorana parkeri, 86 nucleotides. RefSeq lists it as uncharacterized. The transcript is spliced from 3 exons. The record is from RefSeq and is a predicted model, not a curated record. NCBI's taxonomy places the organism in Eukaryota, Metazoa, Chordata, Amphibia, Anura, Dicroglossidae.
UCUCUGAUGUCAAGUUAAACUGCAUGUAAAAGCAAGUAACUGUAGGUUGGAUGUAUAAUGUCAUAUGUGAACAUUUCAAGAAGUUU